This 44072-nucleotide long non-coding RNA is filed under the name Linum usitatissimum (flax). RNAcentral describes it as "long non-coding RNA (LUSI_LNC002867)". The stretch from base 5760 to 5845 matches the Rfam family "tRNA". Lineage: Eukaryota; Viridiplantae; Streptophyta; Magnoliopsida; Malpighiales; Linaceae. The record is from RNAcentral.
UUUAUUUUUCAGGUGGACAUAUUUAGGGAUGCUGCAAGUCUUAUGGUUAACUACAUUGAUGAAAUUCGUGGUCAAGGCUUUGAAGUUGAUUACCUCAACAUUGGAGGUGGUUUGGGCAUAGAUUACUAUCACUCUGGUGCUGUCCUACCCAAGCCAAGGGAUCUUAUAAACACUGUGAGUAUCUCAUCAUUGAAACAAUUGUAUGGGGUCAGAUUUUAUGUAUAUGUACCUAAGAAACCAUGCUUCUGUGGACAUUUAAUGAUCGUCAACUAGACAGCCAUUGUGAAAACUGCUCGCCCUUCAAUGUUGAAUUCUUUUGAAUAGCCAAAUCAUACUGUUAUAUGCAAGAGAAUCAAGGAAAUUAUGAUUCUUCUGAAAGUUGUAAACUAAUCUUAGUUACUAGAAUGUAAAAUUUGUGGUAUGCUAAGUAAGUCAUGUUUGUUGAUGUAGGUUCGUGAAUUGGUGCUCUCGCGGAAUCUCAAUCUCAUCAUUGAGCCAGGGAGGUCCCUUAUUGCCAACACCUGCUGCCUCGUAAAUAGGGUUACUGGCGUCAAGACUAAUGGAACCAAAAAUUUCGUCGUAAUAGAUGGCAGCAUGGCAGAGCUCAUCCGUCCUAGUCUCUAUGAUGCUUAUCAAGUAAGAUAUAGCAAUUAUUAUUUCUAUUGUGUUUUGAAUAUUGAGCUACCAUAAUAUGCAAUGCCGUCCCUCUGCUCUUUAAAGUAGAAAGCUGUCUUAAAUUUACAUUUAUUGCAACGAAUGCAGCACAUAGAACUCGUGUCUCCCUCGCCGCCAAAUGCUGAGGUGCAAACCUUCGAUGUGGUGGGUCCUGUGUGCGAGUCUGCCGAUUUUCUGGGGAAGGAGAGAGAACUUCCUACUCCAGCCAAGGUAAACCUUUUUAUUGUCCAGCAGCUGGAAUGCUUUGGAUUAUCUGAGUAAUGAGUUCUGUAUAUUGUUGCAGGGAGAUGGUCUGGUUGUUCAUGAUGCGGGAGCUUACUGCAUGAGCAUGGCAUCAACAUAUAAUCUGAAGAUGCGCCCUCCAGAGUACUGGGUAUGGAAUACCAAGCUAUACUAGUACACUACCUUUUCGACGCCUUUCUACGCGACCAAUUCAUUAAAACUGAAAAAUAAGCUAGGAAAUGAAUUGCAAUGAAAUUGAGUUGUUAGAAUAUGUGUUUGCUGUUCAGGUGGAGGAAGAUGGAUCAGUAGCCAAGAUCAGGAAUGCGGAGACAUUUGAAGACCAUAUUCGAUUUUUUGAUGGCCUAUAAUUCGGGAUUUUGGUUUGAGUAAAGAAGGCGGGAGCCGGGGAAUGGAGCUCUGGAUGUGUCAAUUUGAGUAGUAAGCUUUGCAUUUUCUGCGAGGUAGUAGAACUCAACUUGUGCUGAAAGGUGGAUGGAUUGGUUAAACUUAUAAACUGUAGGUAAAACUAAAAGGGAUUGGAUAUAAGGGAAAGAUCUAUUACCUAAUUCACAUGUUCAUGGUAUCAUUCUAUUAGUGAAACCAAACUAAUCUGUUUUGAUGAAAUGCUUGGUUUGGCAUUAAGAAUUACAUGAUGUUAUUGGAGACUAGUCGAGUAGAAACGUAAUUUUUUUCGUUAAAUAGCUAUAACAUUGAUUCCGUUUCUAUCGGAAUAAAAUAAUGAUAAGAUUUUCACCGAAAAUUUCGCCUUCCAAAUGGAACCCAAAACUUUGAAACUAGUUUCUGCGCUAGUAGGUUGGGGCACAAAGAAUAAAUAAUGCGAAGUCUAGUUGAACAAGUAGCUUCCAGUUUCCCAACAGAGUGUAGGUGAAAGAGUGGAGAAUUAGAAUAUUUGGAAAUUUGGGACAAAUGCUUUCUACAUUCCAUUUGGCAAUCUCCCAAUAUCAAGCAUAUCUCCCAAGUUGAAUCAAUCAAACAAAAUCAAAGUAUAGGAAUUUGUACCACUCCAUAAUUCUAUACCGACAAGUUGAGGAACCGGGUAGGCUGAGAUGAGAUCACUUGGGGUUUUUUCCAAGUUUAGUGUAGUUUUUGCUACAUGAGGCUUGAAUGAAACUGGGGUUUUGGUUGAAAUGGUAAAUUCAAUCAGAGUUGGCACAGUUGUUAAAAAGAAGAAAGACAGAAAUUCAGAAGAUGACAUUGCUGAUGAUAGCUCAUGAGGCUGCUCAAGCAACCAUCUGAGUCAGGAAUCAAAGACAGCAUGAGCCCCUUUUUCUGCGUGCAGGCUCCUCCAUGGAUUGAUUGCCUCUCCCACUACAAAAAAAUAUCACUAUCCCUUUCUGCUUUUGGAUCCCCUUCUGUUUCUGUCUGAAUCCCAUUGUCCAAUGAACAGUUCUGGGAAUCUUAUAGCAGAAUGAUGGUGUUUUAUCUUUUCCUUUCCACUUUGUGGAACAGAAUGUGAAUCUAAAUCUGACACCUCAACAUCCAUUCCAUUCCAUUCCUCUUUUAUCCCAUCAAAGCUUGGCAACUGCUGUUUCAAUUUCAAAAUUCCCACUCCCCAGUACAGUUGAAAUUUGGGGUUAAUCUUUUCAGUAAAGGAAGCAAGUUAAAUGGAGCAAGUUACAAACUUCAAAUUCUUACACUGCUUAUCUGAUUUACCAUAGCAAUGUACAAAAACCAUUCAACAGGAUGUUCAUCCGGGGAAAAAAGAUAAAAAGGUAAAAAAAAAACAGGGGAAUUUCAACUUCUACAUCUGCUCAUCCAAGAUAAAUUUUCAGGCCACAGAUACAGAAACCUCUUGUUCAUCUUUUCGAAACCUCUUUUGCCUUUCAAUGAAGGCAUCCACUGCACUCUUGAACUCCUCGUUGCUCAUGUCGUCCUCUGGAAACAAAUCCUUCUUUUUGCUCAAUUUCUCCGUUGCAGACCGCCUCAGUUCCUUUUCCGGCUUCCUGCUAAUAACCAACUUAUCUGACUUGCUCCUCUCGUAACUCUUUACGACUCUUGACGAAACAGGAUGAUGCUCUUCUUUCUUGACCACCAAGCUAUCACUCUGUUUUCUUCUGCUUUUCACUUCUUCAACUCUCUGAACCGAAGCAAACGCCUGCUGACCGCUAUUUCCGCUCAUCUCCACAAAUUCCUCGUAAAUAUCUGAUCUUGCGCUGAUGCUUCCUUUUCCUCCUUCUUCUUCUUGGCUGCUGCGGGAGAGCUGACCGGACUUGAUGAAGAGAACUACCACGAUGGCAUUCCCUACCACGAACACAAACCUGGGGCUGGCGAGGACGACUAAGAAGUCCUUGAAAUACUCCACGGAGCUCUUAAAAGCGGCCGGAAGGAGUUGAAUCGAACAGCUCGAGACCACGGCCAGGAAUACCAUGAUUUCCAGCGCUCUCAACAGUUUGGUGAUCUUCUGGAAUUUCUUGUGCUUCUUGACCGCCUUUGCUUUCAGGGUCUUCAGAUUAUUGGCGUUCAAAGAGUCCAUUUUGUUUUGAAAUAAGAAACUGUGACCAAAACAAACAAAGAACUUUUAAUCUUGUCCUUCUAAAGGUUGGAUUUUUUUGCUUCACUCGAGAGCAAAUGGGUAACAACAAUCUCGCCAGGAAGAGAGGAGACAGAGGAAAACACCAGGACGGAUGUGGAAGAUUUGGUCCCAGAAAUCAUAGAACGAAGUAGGUGGAGGCAGACAGAGUACUAGAACAGAGGAUGCUCUGUUUUUUGGUUGUUUGAGUUGAGUGAUGUCUGUGGGCUCUGUUUUGCUGCUUGGAAGCUUUUAAGUUGUGAGAAGUGGUGUAUCAUAUAUAUAUGGUGGAGGUGGGAGUGGGUAUCUGGCAUGAUAUUCUUUUAAAUUUUAAUAUUGGGAUUGUGUAUCAGUAGGUUAUAUCAUUUUAACGAUUCUGUUUCACUUUCUUGUGGAUUUAAUUAUACUUUUUUUGUAUAGUUAUUAAUACCAGUUUAUUAUACUUUCGAAGGAAAGGCAUUGUGUUCCCCAAAUUCCUCUGUAGUCCCUUAUUGGAGUUGUGGAGUGUCAUUUUCUCCUUCAACUAUGCUACUUUAUUUCUUUGUAUUAUUGGGGUUUUCUUCUUUUCGGUUGUAACAGUAAGGCCAGUUGUUAUCUCAAGGAUGAUUCACCAUUGGCAUCUAAUCUGAAGCCGAAUGGCAAACAGAAUGAAUUCCUAUUUCCAGACUUCAUGCAUCAUCAUUCGAUUUUUAUCUGCAAUCAAUGAAGUUCUCUGUGAAAGUGUCCUUUCUUUCGAGCCUGUGGGUGCAAACAGCUGGCUUCCCUCCUAAUCUGCUCAUCUCAACUACUUCCUGCUAAUAUGUUAUCAAUGCUGAUGAAAAACUGAGCAGUGCCAUAGAUUGUAGUCUACCCUUUAAAGUUGUUACAUAAUUUCCAUCUUCCAGAUUAAUUUCUUAAGUCCAAAUGGAGUGGCUCGGUAAAAAAGCUAGCUUUAUUUCAAGAUUUGUGUCAACGAUGUUAAGAGGAAACCGAUAGUCAAUCCAAAAUCAUGACUUGUUUCUUAAACGAGGUGAUAUGAUAUUCAAACCUUUUAUAACCAGGUGUGGUGCUCUUAUGUUUCAAAGCACAGAGGUUAGAGUUUAGUUUUUUUUUUAUCGAGGUAGAUCGAGACUUUCGGUCAAUACAAGGUAGACGAUCGGAAGUAAACAUAACAUUGAUGUCCAUUUCAUAUGGGGUGUUGCUGGAUUUUAACUCAGAACCUCCAAAUUAUCAAAUAUAUGGCUCUAUCGUCAAAGCAACUCUUAGUGUAUCGAUUUUGAAAAAAAACGGCUACCACAUUCAAUUAUAUGGGAAUUUACUAUUUUUGUAUUUAAUGAUUUAGUGAAAAAUAGCGGAGGCCCAUAACCAAAACAAACAAGAGAAGGGGCCCGCUGAAUUAUUUAAAAAAGAGAAAGAGAAAGGGAAAGGGCCCACAUGAAAAGCCCAGACGGAAGUGCAACCACGAACCCACCCACCUCAACUCAUUAGCAAUUCCCAUUUCCUUCCAUACGAAGAAAAGUAGAAAUACAGUUGAGUCUUAACACACAAUUUCUAAAGCCAAACUGAGACUUGGCACUUCUGCCAUCCUAAUCCACCACUACGAUCAUCAAAUGAUAAACAAAUUAAUAGUACAACCCUUUAAUCAAUACCCUCUCUUUUUAGUUUGGAAGUACUUUUCUUUUAUGUUGGUGAUUGGUGGGUGAAAUAAUUCUUUAUUCAAAUCCUUUUAUCUCGGAGUAAUUUGUUAUAUCCGUGGUUUUUUUUUUUUGCCAUGUUGGACGAUCAUUCUUCGUAAGGCUUGGUUUGGGGUACUAUGUCGAAGUUGGCUUUUUGUCUCUUGUUGUUAUGUAAUUGUUCACGGACCUAAUUAAGUGAUCAAUAUCGUACGUCAUGAAUUUUUAUUUUGUCAUGCUUAAAUCCAUUAAUUAUUCAAAACAUAACUAAAACAAAAACAUUCACGGAGAAAUUAAAAGAAGUGGAGAAUUAAAUAAAAGAUAAUUACAAUUUUUCUAUAGGAUUUUUAUGAUCCAUAUUUAAAAUGAUGUAUGGAGGGUGGGGAGUGUAUAAGUAGUUUGUGAUUGGAUAAGGGUUAGGACUUUAGCAACUUUGUGCACUAAUAAGUGGUCACCUAAUUAGUUAGAUUCUCUUUGACUUAUAAUUGAUUCAUCAUUUAGUUACAAUUUAUCAAUAACAUUGGACACUAUACCACCUAGGAGUGGAAGCUGAUUGGGCUACACCAAGGACAAAGAUUCAGAUGCUAACAAAUAUAUUCUAUUAUUCUUAAGUAUAUAAUGUGCAGGUUCUUCAAGUAAUAAUAAUUUGAUUAUAAUCUUUAUGUUACUUAAGGAGGAAACCGACCUUAGCUCAGUUGGUAGAGCGGAGGACUGUAGUUGUAGACAGCAUAUCCUUAGGUCGCUGGUUCGAAUCCGGCAGGUCGGAUAUUUUGCUUUUAUUUAUUUUUACUGCCAUUAUUAAUGGUACAGCUCAGCUAAGCUGCCACAAGCUUUCUCUCUGAACUCCCAAGUACAGGCUUAUUACGUCUUCAGUUUGGGUCUGUUGAUUUUUCACUUGUAUAAUCUUUGUUGCUUUACUGUAAACUAGAUUGCCAGCAGAAGUUCUGUAAUUAUAUAAUUCAGCUUCCCAGUUCCCAUAGUCGACAUGAUGAAAAUCCCAAGGGACGAUUACGACAAGUCCAUCCAAGUCGUUGAAAAGACCACAAAUGUUGGUUGGAGAGCUUCAGCAGCUGUUAGCUUGGUUCGAACUGACCAUAGUUUGUAUGGAAAUGUAAGGGUUGCUAAUUGUUUGUAGUGAAAUGUUUGUUGGAGAUUCUUGUCUUGUUUAUUUUCGACAAAAUGAAAAAAAAAGUGUUGUUGUUGAUCAUUAUUGUUGUUAGUAUUUUACAUGGAUGUACUUAUUUUUUGAUCUGCUUAUUUAAUAUAAAUUUAUGUUGAGAUUUUGUAUUUACAGUUAUGAGUACAAAGUCAAACGAUGCACUCUGUUCAAUGAAUAUGUGUGUACGCGCAUUCAGUGACUUGUUAGUUCUUAUAUGUAAAUGCGUUGUUAUAUUUUAAUCGAUUUUUUAUUAGUAUUUUGUCUGUCUUUUUUAUUAAACAGACAUGAUUGGGGUGGCUUUCCUCGUUUUAUUAAUGAUUAAUUGAAUGGGCGCUCUUCAAAGUUUACAUUAAUAUUUUAUCGUCUUUUACAAUUUGUUGUGUAUUUUGUUUUCACUUUUUUUAAAAAAAGUUGAGGGGAAAUUUUUGUCUAUGGUCUCAAUGGCCUUACGAGGUCGUGAAGAGUUUCACGGUCUAUAUCGAGUCAUUAGAGCUGGUCAAAAGAAGAAGAUGAAGGAAAAUGUCAACUAGGAGGUGGAUAUAUUAUAAAACCAAAUUAUUAUUUAUACAAAUAAUAAUUAGUGAAGUACAUUAGGAAACUAGAAUGAGAAUGGUAACUAAUUAUUGAUCUGGUUUUACCAAUCCAUGAAGUAGAUUUAUUAUGUGCUCAUCGCAUUCUUUGUCUAAACUAAUAUCCGAAUAACUCAAGAAUUCAUUGUUAUAAAUUUCACAUUCUCAAAAUAUUGGAGUAUGGGCACCAAAUCCUCAACCUCGUUGUGACUCGUAAAUGUGAAACAUUUGUUGACGUAGAGGCUCAGACGAGCUAGACAAUGGACGUUCACGAUCUUUUCGAAAUGAGGAAGAUCAAAACGUAAGAAACCGAGAGUGAACGACUCGAGUUUCGGUGCAUCUAUUUCGAUCUCAAGUGCGGGUCGAUUAUUAUAAUUAGAAUUGCCUCCGAGCUCCAUGCUAAGAAAUUUGAGUCCAGAAACCUUCAGAUUAAUACCAGGAAGAUGCUUAAAGUCACACAUUGGCAACAUCAACAAUAACUUCUAUUCGAUUCCACAGUUGAAGAACUUCACAACAUCUCCGAGGGCAACCUGUUAGAAGACUAGUACUCCAUAAGCAGUUCAGACUUCCAGCCUUGAACAAUAGUGAUCCGCCUCUCAAUCUGAUUCAAGGAUAUCAACCAAAAUCUCUUAUCCAUCAUAAGAAUCCUCUGUCAGCUGACCAACACCCCUUAAAAUCAUGCCCUCAAGAAUGCCAUCUUUCAGCCUGUUAGAUACAUCAAACGCCGGGGUGUAGAUUUCAUAAUUUCACUUUACGGGGCACACACCCACAUUUACUUUGGAAUCUUAGAAUCUCCCUUGCAAAUUCAUGAUUACCAGUUAACGAGAGCCCAUUAAGAAUCCGAUUGAAAGUAAAUCUUCUAGGUACAAAUCCUCGAUCAACCAUCUCCAUCAACAACCUCCCAGCAAGCAACAGAUCAUCAGAUUUCUUCCUCACAAACAUUGCACUUAUCAAGAUGUUGUAGGUAUCCAAAUUCGGCAAGCAAUCUCCACUGCUCAUUUCACGAAACAAGCUCAACCCCUUCUCGAUUUCCCCAGCCUCACAUAAGUAGCGGAUCAUGACAUUGCAGGUCUGCAAAUUCGGGCCACAACUACUACUACCAUCUUUCAUUUUCCCCAAGAACUGCAUCGCCUUGUCAAAUUCGCCAGCGUGGCACAACCCUCUAAUCACCACGGCAUAAGUUGUCGUGUUCGGUACAUAACCUUUCCUCACCAUCUCUUCGAAAACCAACAAAGCAUUCGCUACACUAUCCUUCUUGCACAAAACCUGAAUGAACGCAUUGUAAGUUUCCACAGAAGGAAGAACUCCUUCCUUCACCAUGCAAUUAAAAACAUUCCGAGACCGGUUAAUCUCCCCUGCAACACCGAGCCCAUGGAUCACAGUAGUGUAAGUAACAACAUCAACCUCCCAUUUCCUCUUCUUCAUUUCUGAGAAGAACCUGCAACCUUCCUCAAUCUGAGCAGCUCUAAAAUAGCCUCUAACCAGUGUAUUAUAAGUGGUCAAAUUCGGACUUACCCCUCGAUCCACCAUCUCCUUCAUCACCUCCAACGCUUUCCCAGUCCUCUUUAUCAAACACCAACCAUUCACAAUUAUAUUGUAGCUAACACAAUCAGCUUUGAACUUCCCUCUUAAUGCCUUGAACAGAUUAUAAGCCAUUUCCACAUGUUUCGACUUGCACAGCACAUCAAGAAGCACAUUAAAAGAUUUCAGAUCAGGGAACCACCCGUAAUCAUUCAUAGUCAAGAAGAUAUCCACAGCCUUAUGAGGUCUUUUUGCAGAAGCAUACCUCUCAGCAAUAAUGGCGUAGGUUUUGUGGGAAGGGCCAAUCUUUGCUUUCCGCAUCCGGGAGACAAGAGUCCAUAGGGUCCGGAAAUCCCGGAGGCGAGCGGAGAUGUCGAUGGCGUGGUCGUAUGAAGAAGGGUGGUGCAUGUAGGAAGGGUGGUAUGUAAGCAAGUGGAAGAAUUCUAGAGCUUUGGGGCCGUGGUUCCAGAGGUGUUUGAUGACGGAGUUCACAAGCUCCGGGCACCAUUGAAUGGUUGGAGAGUGGAGGCUUUGGGCUAAGGUUUGUUUGUUCGACGAAUUGAGGAUUAGGGAAGUCAGAGAAGCGACAUCAGCUGCCGGAGCUGGGACGGCGGCUGGCGUUUGGGCUUUGUUGCGCGGGUCUGAUGGGCUAAGAAUCAGGGAACUCAAGGGAAUAUGAUUCCUUGAAGGCUGCUGAUCGUCGGUGAGGGUGGCGAAGUUUCCCGAUGAAGGAAGACGACUGGGGAGAAUCCAGGCGCGGCGGUGGUUCGCGGCGGCGAACCGAAUAAGCAUGCCCGGCGAAAAUGUCUCCGAUUUACUGGGUAGGGGUGUACGUAGUGAUUCGAAAUUAAAUGGAUUCAAUUCAUUUGCAAGGUUUUAGCUGAUUAGCCCUGUAUGGAUAAAUGUCCCAGAAGUGAAAAUUGGAGCAACCUGUCUAGUAAAGCCCAAGCCCAAUAGUCUUGACAGACACGUGGGAGUCAGGGUCGUGUUCCACGUAUAUCAUCACCCCAGGUUGCAGUUAACACUUAACAGUAAACAGAGAAGAAUAUGAACAAAGGCUAUUAUGCGGAAAGGUUUCUGGACAUUAGAAGAGAAAGGAAAAGAGAGAAUGGAAGUUGGAGGAGGAGAAGAUGAUGGAAUGAAGAAGCCGGAUAUUCUGGAUUCAAACUUCAUGACAGAUCUUAAACAACAACAACAACUACAAACAACCCACACACAAAAGCAGCUCGAUUCAGGGGCUGCCCUUCAAGCAUUUCUCGAUCACAUUCCCAUCAAUGCCAUCCCUGGCAUUCAAAACUCUUCUUCUGGUGCGUCUUGAUAUUUUCCUUGUUCGCAUUCCCCGGUACAAUUUAUCUUAUCAAAGUUUCAAACUUUUUUUUGUUAAUCUCUCAAGUUAUGGAGGUGAAAGCUGGAGAGGCGGUGGAACAAGCAAUAGAGAUGCUAUACAAGAAGAACGUGUCCGGCGCUCCAAUUGCAGACUUAAUCGACUCUGAGAGCGUGAGCGGGAGGGUUUCAGAUCGAUACAUGGGUUUCAUUGAUUUCGCCAGGAUGCUUCUUUGGUGUUUCCACAAAUGUGAUUAUAACCCUCAAAAUAAUCACACCACCACCAAUGUUCACGACAGCUUUUUCGCAAUGCUCCACCACAAUCCUGACAUUGCAGAAACAAAGGUAUUUUUAUCUAUUAACCCUUUUGGGACAAUACAAGAAAACUUCCAUAUACAAACUUACCUUUGGAAAUGAACCACAAAAGCACAGGUGGGAGAGUUGGCAAAGUCGUUUCUAUGGGAUCCAUUUUUCCCAGUUCAUCUGGAAGAUACCUUGUUCCAUGUGCUGCUGCUUUUCUGCAAGCAUCAGCUCCAAGUAGUUCCUGUGGUGGUGAAAUCCGAGCUUCAAGUCAUUGGCUUUGUCACUCAGGCAUCAUACUUCAAACCCUACCUUUUCUUUUAAUUUUUUGGGUUUCUUUCAUCAGUUGCAUCAUAUGAUUAAUUGGUGGGGAUAAGAUUGUUUUUUUGGCAGAAUGCAGUGAUUCAGUUGCUGCUUCAAUCGGCCGGACUUGAAUGGUUCGAUGCCAUUGCUGACAAGCCUUUAUCAGAAUACCGGUACGCUGAACAUCACUAAUGCUUUGAUGACUUGCAUUCACAUCUGCCAUCGAAUGAUUAGAUUUAUAUAUAUGUUCGAUUUUUACUUAGAGAGGAGCAUCUUAUAACUGUUUGCGGAGAGCAGAGCUUAUCAGAAGCUCUUCACCGACUAUGGGAAAGCCAAAUCGGUGUCGUAGCAGUCGUAAGCCGAGGGAAUGGGAGUGUUAUAGGCUGCAUCAGGAACAGUGAUGCUUAUCUCCUUGUCGAGAAUAACAACUUAUUCAGCAACAGGAAGUAAAAUCAAUAAACUUGCCCCUAUUUUGUCCAUUAGAAUUGGAAGACUAGAGCUUUUUCCUUCUUGCUUGAUGGGUUAAUUAUGCCUUCAACAACAGGACCAUAACAGCAGAGGAAUUCAUUCACACGGAGCCAGCAGCAGAUGGUGAUGAUCCGAUCAUCGAGCGAGACCUCGGAGCGCUCCUUUCGGCAGGGACUCUCAAAUUGAAGAACGCAUUUCUUCCGAAGAUGGAUUCGGUAGUCACCAACAAAAGGAGCGACACGUUGAAGCAUGCCAUGGUGGAGAUGGCAAGGACAAACAGCAGCUUCAGCUUCCUGGUCGAUGGGUCUAAUAAUCGGCCCACUGGGGUCCUCACUUUGCGAGAUGUGAUCGUUCAGUUUGCUCCACCGUGUAUGGAUUCCAGCUUCCAAGGAGGUGGGUUCUUCGAUUUUGCACUGGAACAAGCGGGUUGCCAUGAGAAGAAUGGGACUGUUGUGUGUAAUCGACAAGCUUCGUCUUCUGUUAGACUUGUAAAAGCAACUGAUGCUGCUGCAUCUUCUAACUAGAGUAUAUGUCGUUUUAAGUUAACAAACGGGCGUUCCAUACAUUUGAGCAACUCAAAUGUAUGUAUUCUUACCCCAAACAUAUCUACAAGCAGCUCAUACGUAUGUAUUCUUGUCUUCAACGUAUUGAUCGGCUCCUAUGUCAGAUUUCUUGUAUGUUGGAAUUAGAAUUAUUCGCAUGAUGUUGUGGAUGAUGUUGCGGAAAAUGAAUAGAUGGAGAUAGAUAAUUUUUUUUAUAUGUGUAAGCAAAAUGAAAGCGUGAGAUAAUUUAAAAAGAAUGGAAGAUUCAAAAAGAGUAAUAUGUGAGCUCAAAAUAAAGCAUUCAUAUAAACUUAAAAUAAAGUCCUAAUAAACGCAAAAUAAAAUUCAGUAAUAUUAAAAUAAAGUUCCGGUAAACUCAAAAUAANNNNNNNAUAAAAUCAUUAGAGAACCAAAAACUAUUCAUUCAUUAGUUAGUAAUUCAUGUUCUCCUUUUAUAGAUAGAAAGUUUUUUUUGUUAUAGAGAACGUAGUAGCAAAAAAAGCGCGAGACAAUUUAACGUAUGUCAAUUGAAAAAUGGAAAAUAGCAUAAGACCCAUAAAGGGUAAUAUGCGAACUUAAAAUAAAGCCUCGUAAAGCCAAACUAAAGUCCAGUAAAUACAAAAUAAAGUCCAGUAAAAGUNNNNNNNNNNNNNNNNNNNNNNNNNNNNNNNNNNNNNNNNNNNNNNNNNNNNNNNNNNNNNNUCAUAAAAAAGAACCAAACAUUAUUUUUUAAUAGUAAUUCAUGUUCUCAUUUUAUAGAGCCAUAAUAAACAAAAUAUCAUGAGAUGAGACAUGGUAAUAGAACCUCCUAACGUAGGAAUGGUUGGUGCGAAAUGCAAAAAAUAGAUUUAACACUUCGUAACGUAGGAAUGACAUAUUGCAUCGUAUACGAAUCUAGUAUUGUGUCUUGUAAUAACUAAUUACUUGAGGAAUCAUAAAAAUAGUGGAAACGUAGUAAUAAACAUCUUGUACGUAAAGUUUUUGAAUACUAUCAAGAUUGGUAUGGUUGGAUUUUGUCUUUGAAAGUUGAGUACUUUCCAUGUCAGAUAAAUAAACAUCGUACUUAGAUAUGCUCGAAGACAAAAAAAAAACAAAUAGCAAUGUGCUAAUUACCCGACAUAACAUGGUUUUGAACAACUAAAUCGAUGUGGAAGGUCGGACUAAUGGAAUAGAUGAAGGGGCUGGGAUUGAUUAUUAUGGAAAUUAACUAAUUAAUUAUAUCGAGUCACUUGAAAAAAAACCCAGAAAUGCUAUCAAUGUCUCCCCAUGCAUGCAUGGACUCAUUCUCUUUUUAUGUGACGUUUGAAAUUAGUGUCCAAUCAGUACCACGUUCAUUCAGACAGCUACCUGCAAGAGAAAUGGUCUUCGGAAAUAGACAGUGCCAAUUACGCUAAAGAAAGUCCACACAGUGUAUAGUAUCCAAAUUCACCAACAUUGUUAUUGAUCUCAAAUCUUGGCUCCGACAUCCAGUAACAACAAUGGCAAUGAUGCAUCUUCCCCUGUGGUUGUCACUUCUAGUCAUCAUCAUCCUUCCAUCUGUUACUCAGAUGUCCGAUUCUUCAGUUUACUUCAAAGCAACCCAAUUUAGUGCAGGAGACCCAAACUUCUCUUACCAGGGAGACGCCGCUGCUUUCAAUGGAGCAGCUCAAAUAGCAAACAAGCGUACUGAGAUAUUCCGAACAGGCUGGCUCACUUAUUCUGCCCAAAUCCCCAUUUGGGACUCUGCUUCUUCUUCAUCAGGACAAAAAGUCACAGAUUUCACCACUCACUUCUCCUUCAUCAUCGACACCGGCGGCAGCGAUAGGAGUUCCGACGGACUCGCCUUCUUCAUGGGUCCCGCCGGGUUUCAGAUCCCGCCCAAUUCCGUCGGCGGGUAUCUGGGCCUCUACAAUUCAACCACCGUCGACGCCGAAUUUUCUCCGGCUUACUACCAGACCUUGAUUGUGGAAUUUGACACCCAUUCCAAUACCAAAUGGGAUCCUCCAUAUCCUCACGUCGGGAUCAAUCGGAACUCGCUUGCGUCCUCUGUUUCCACUCCCUGGAAUUACAGCUUUCACAGCGGAGAUGUCGCCGACGCCUGGAUUUCUUACGACUCCGCUACAAAGAAUCUCACCGUGACCUGGAGCUACAAAGCCACUUCAAUCCCUGGAGAGAAUUCGAGCCUUUCUCUUGAAUUGGACCUGUCGAAUUCCCUUCCUCAAUGGGUAACGGUUGGAUUUAGUGCGUCUACCGCUAAUUUCGAUGAACAGCAUAGGGUUUUGUCUUGGGAGUUCAAUUCUAGCUUGGGUAUCACAACAGCAGCAAGGAAUUCGAAACCGAAAUCAAAAUCGGUGAUCAUCAUGGCUACUACUGGCGCUGCUGCAGUUGCUUUGAUAAUUGCAGUUGGAUUUUUUAUUCGGAGAAGAAGGAUGUUGGUGCAGCAUCAGCAUCGACAUCCGAUGAUCGGGAUGUCGAUCAACAAAGACUUAGAGAGAGGAACGAGACCGGCGAGAUUUGGGUACGAAGAACUCGCUGAAGUGACAACAAUUUCUCGGAGGAGAGGAAGUUGGGAGAAGGAGGAUUCGGGGCUGUUUAUAGUGGAUAUCUCAGCGGGUUGGAUCUUGCUGUGGCAGUGAAGAGGAUCUCCAAAGGUUCAAAACAGGGGAGGAAAGAGUUCGUCUCGGAGGUGAAGACGAUCGGACAGUUGAGGCACCGGAAUCUGGUGCAAUUGGUUGGUUGGUGCUACGAUCGAGAAGAAUUCCUGUUAGUUUACGAGUUCAUGCCAAACGGCAGCAUCGAUUCGCAUCUAUUCCGCAACAACGAUCAUCCUCACAGCUUCAAUUGGACGUUGAGGUACAAGAUUUCGUUGGGAUUAGCUUCGGGACUGCAUUACCUGCACGAGGGAUGGGAACAAUGUGUGGUGCAUCGCGAUAUCAAGCCGAGUAAUAUAAUGUUGGAUUCGGGCUACAAUGCUAAGUUGGGGGAUUUCGGGUCAGCCAGACUUAUGGACCAUGACCAUGGUGGUGGUGGUGGUGAUUCGAGGACAACCGUAUUGGCAGGAACAUUGGGCUACUUAGCUCCCGAGUGCAUAAGAACUUGCAGGGCUAGUAAAGAGUCGGAUGUUUACAGCUUCGGAGUGGUUCUAUUGGAAAUUGCAACAGGUAGAAAGGUGUUGGAUCCUAUUGAUCAAGAGAAGCCUGAAAUCAAAUUGGUUCCGUGGGUUUGGCAUCUUUACGAAUGUGGGGAACUCAUUUCAGCAGUUGAUCCCAAACUGGGCUCCGACUUUGAUUGUGAACAAGCAGAACGACUGCUCGUUAUUGGGUUAUGGUGUGCUCAUCCUGAUAGCAAAGUGAGACCAAACAUCCAUCCAGCAAUACAAGUUCUCAAGUGUGAGACCCUACUCCCGAUUCUGCCUGCUAGAGGAGAAUCAGUUCCGACAUCACAUUUUCCGGUCAAUCCUCAUGCCACUAAUUCCUCAUCUCAAGGCUCAGUAACCAAUUCUGUCAUUCACAUAGGUCGAUAAGUCAAGAACUUUUUUCUCUACUGGUAAAGUUGUGUGCUGGAGACUCGAAAGUCUCGAAUUCAAAUCCAACACAUCCCACAAACGGACACAAUUAUAACGUUUAUUUUCUCUUUCAAUUGUAUGACCGAGAGGUCUAUGUAACACUUUGGAUGAGAAGUAUCAUGAAGAUUACACUAUACAGAAUUUCAUAAUUGAGCUAACCAGCUGCUGUCGUCUUAUUUAGAGUGUUUUGUGCGUGGCCAGUCAGACAAAUUGGCUCAGAUACUCAUCCACAGUUGUGUACUUGACAUCAGGGUAAAGCUCAGAAGCUUCCACUCCAAAUGACGGUUCAAUCUCGAAGUUGGUGUGAUCUCCCUUGACGAACACCGAGUACCCAAUUGACAGUAUCACAUUCAGGGGAGGUGAAGACUCUGUAGUAACAAAAACCCAUUUCAAAAGCUUCACCCUUUUUCCUGCCUGUUGUGCUUAAAACUGUUUUCCUGAGAUCAUUGUAAUGGACACAGAAAUUACCUCGGAUGUUGUUGAGAAGUUGUUCUUCGGAGAUGUAACUUCUCUCGAGGGUCUUGCCGAUCUUCUUCUCCCACAAGGAAACAAGAUCGUUGAAGGAUAUGGUAUUGGCGGGUGGCCUAAUGUACAAGAUCUUGUUCAACGUUCUUGGAUCAUCCACUGCUUUGAUAGUGUAGAUUCCUAUAUCCUCUUCCUUGUUGAAAAUUGCUGCAUGUAUCGUCCAAAAUCAACAUAUAUGGAACCAUAAUAUAACAUGAAUUUAUGACGAGGAGGGGAAUCCCACAGGAAUACCUUUUGGGGUUCCAUCGCCCAAAAUGACAACUUUAUCACGAGGAGGAGUGGUUAUACCAGGCUGGUUUAGGGUUGGGAGAAAGUAACCUGCAAAGAAGUUACAUGAGACAUAUGUGAAUGGGAUGCCUGCCGCCUCUAUGGCUCGUCGGAUUUUCACUUUGGUAGCAUAUGCAGUUUUUGCUGGCUCUACCGUAUGAACCCGAUCCACAUCGUUUCCAAACUCUGAAGGCAAGAAUCUCUGCAUGCAUUGUAAAUUAGUUAUAACAUUUGAACUGAAAUUUUAUAACAACAAUGGUAAAAUGAGCAAGAACAGAGUGAAUUAUUCAACCUUGAUGUUGCCAGCUUGUUUAAUGGCGGAGAUGAUCUUCUCUUGGUCAACCAGGUGUGCAUGACCAACGGUAGAGAUCACAACAUCCACCAUCUUCAGCACCUUCACCAAAUUCUCGCUAUCUUUCAGAUCCCCCUACCCAAAAUCAACAGAAAUUCUAAUCACCAAUUUUUUAAUAUUCUAUCUAUCUGAAAACCAAAACAGAAUCCAGGAACGAAAAACGUUGAAGGGAUUUAGAAGGAGUGCAACGAAGAGAGCAAGAAGGACAGAAUACAUACAAUGAGGAAUUUGACACCGAGGGAUUUGAAGCUUUCGAUGGCCUUGGAUUUGGUAGGGCUGGUAAGAGUGGACUGCCUGACGAGAGCGUAAGUGGGGUUACCUGCCUUGGCGCUAGCUUCCACUACGUAUCUCCCUAUGUACCCUGUUCCUCCAAUUACUAAAAUCUUCGUCUUCUCUUCUUCCUCUGCCAUUGCCUGGCGCUAUGCUUCUCUGUUUCUCUGUUUAUCAAAAUCUUUAUUUAUGAAUUUUAUCUGUAAGAGACAGAAACAGGUCCUCGCCAGAUCAGGAAAUAACGAUUAGCUCUGCUGCUGCUGAUACGUUUUUUUCUUUCUUGUCAUGGAAACAAGCUAGGUCCCUGCCUAUAAAUAGAGUAACAUUUUACCAAAACAAACAAUAACUAAUAUUGCUUGGUACAAAAAAUUUCACCACGAAAAUUUAUAUAUUUCACGAACAAUAACCAGACAUUAGGAAUUUCAAGUUCAAUGUAUACAUUAUUAAGAUUUAAAGAGACUCGAGGAACAUUAUACCUUCAACAAGGUUCCAAGUAUUAUUUGACAGAAAUCAGUUCUAAUUGGGAAGUAGAGGGCUAAUGAGUAACUUCAGCUAACAGUUUCAAUUUCAUAAGGUAGUCGCUGCUACUGCUAAAAUGCAGUAAGCUCAGACAAAUUGGUCAAGGUACUCGUCCACCCUGGUGUAUUUGACGUCGGGGUAAAGCUCUGAGGCUUCUAUUCCAAAUGAAGGUUCAAUUUCGAAGUUGGUUUGAUCUCCCUUCACGAAAACAGAGUGACGAAUCAAGAGUAUCACAUUCAUUGGAGCUGCAGAUUCUGCCAAAACAUAAAAGAUGCAAAAAGGGAGAGACAGAGUCAACCAUCAAACCAGAUGGUGCUCAGAACUUAACCAAGUUGGGAUUCGAUUCACCUUGGAUGUUCUUCAGAAGUUGUUCCUCUGAGAUGUAAGACCUUUCAACAGUUGUUUCAAUCUUCUUCUCCCACAAGGACACUAGAUCAUUAAGGGAUAUUAUGUUGCCUGGUGGUCUAACGUAUAGAGCCUUGUUCAAAGUUCUUGGAUCAUCUACAGCUUUGAUAGUAUAGGUUGCAAUAUCCUCUUGUUAAAAAUUGCUGCUUACAUAAACAUCACGUUCACAUGGUUACGAAGAAAUUUAUAUAUUUUCAGCCAACGAAUAGUUAUCAAUCGCAACAUCAACAAAUAGCAAAAGAUGACGCCUUUUUUAUAAGUGAUGCUGCCCCAAGAAUCUUGGGUGGGUGUUGUGAAGCAGCAGAACACAACAAUAACCAGAAAGAUCUUAACUAAGCCUUUACCUUUUGGGUUGCCGUCACCAAAUAUAACAACUUUGUCCCGCGGUGGAGUGGUGGCUUCUAGCUGUGUCAACGAGGCAAGGAAGAGACAUCGAAAACAUUGGAGCACACGUACGUAAAUGGAAUUCCAUCAGACUCAAUAGCCCGGCGUACUUUAGCCUUGGCGCCAAAUGCAGUUUUUGCCGGCUCCACAGCAUUAACAUGAUCCACAUCAUUCCCAAAUUCCGACGGGAAGAAUCUCUGUAAACAAAAUUUUGGAAUUCUAUUAAUCAGUAUUAUUUUUCUUCCCGUAGACAAAACGUCGAACACAUAGGAUGCAUGAAAGAAACAGAAGGAGAAAAACAGAGUGAUGGACGGCGAAUACUCGGCCUUAAUGUUACCAGCUUCUUUGAUGGCAGAGACUAUCCGGACUUGAUCAGGAAGUUGAGCGUGACCCAGCGUAGAAAUCAAGACAUCCACUUGCUUUAUCGCCUUCACCAAGCUCUCGUGAUCAGAAAGAUCCCCCUGAAACAAACAAAGUAUUUGUAAGAGACCAAUCUAACUUAAAAUAUAGAAUUGGGAUUGAAAUUGAACUUACGGUGAGGAAAUUGACGCGCCGGGGGUCUUGAAUUUGUCGACGAGGGCGGACUUGUUAGGGGCAGAGAGAGUGGAAUCUCUGAGAAGGAGAAAAGUAGGGUGACACAGAUUUGGCGCUAGCUUCAACUAUGUACUUUCCGAUGUAGCCCGUGCCUCCUAUGAACAGAAUCCGACUCUUGUUAUUCUCCGCUAUUUCUUGGAACUCUGGGAAUGAGAGGCUUAAAGAGCGGUGAAGAUUAUGAGAUCCUAACUGCGAAGCUGAAAGUUUAAAGUUGUAGUCUAAAAUGUCAGCUGCAGUAGACUGUAAGGUUAGCAUGGUCGUCAGCGCGGUCGUCAGCUUUGCCCAAGUGACAUUUUCUUGAUUUUUUUUUAAUUCAGCAGUUUCUGUAUUACUCACUUAAUUUGGUAGUGAUUUGAAAUAAAUUAAACACAAAUAAGUAAAUAACUUAAAUUUUGAAAUAGAAAAUAUUUAAGUAAAAAAUUUUAUUUUUAAAUAAAUUGUGUUUGGUUGGAAAUUUAUGAGAGAUUUUUAUUUAAUUAGAGGGGUGCAAACAUACCUUUACAAAAUAAAAAGGAAAUAUAUAUAAUAUAUAUGUCAAUAUGUGAAAUGUAUAUAAAAAAAAUAUAUUAACACAUUCAAAAUUUACUUAUAACCAUAUCAACCAUAAAAAAAAGUUAAAUUUUGGUUAAUAAUUCCAUUUUGUUUUUCUCUUUUGAAAUUUUUAUCCAUUUAAGUGAUUUAAAAUUCUUUCAGAAUCAUAAAGUAAUUUCAAUCACCUUAACUAUUUUAAAUUUGAAAUAUCCAAAUAAAUAAUUAGGAAUAAAAUCUCUACCAAAAUUCAAAUCAGACAUCCAAAUCAUACAUCAAACAUCCAAAUUGUAAUUGAUUUUUGUUUUUAGUUGAAGUAUUUUCCUUUCUCACUUUUGUGUUGAGUAUAUUAAAAGGGAAACAGAAAAAUCGAUGAGCACCGGACUCGAUGAUAAACAUAAUUGACACAUGACAUUUCUCAUAUUGAUUCAAAUUCAGAAAUUCUCAUUAAUUUUGUCUAACAAUAGUUUUAGCUAUACUUGUGGGCAGUGUAGCUGUCAAGCUGUAAAUCCGGCUUGUAGAAUACCAAAAUAGAUGGUGAUCAUAUGAUUAUUAACUUGGUCACAAUCUAAUACAUUGUCACGCGAAAGGAGAAGCAGAGAGCUAAGCAGCAGGGUGUUCACCAGCUAGCAUCAAGCAAUUAUCAUCGAUCCACUCACAAAUUAAUAACCAGCAGCAGUUAUAUAUAACCUCAACUCGAUGGGUACACGGUACAAACACAGAGAUACACUCAUAAAAGCAGCAGCAGAAGAGAAACCCAAAUUCCCAGCAGCAGUGGAAAAUUCACAACAUUAGACAAACUGGUCGAGAUAUUCAUCCACAGUGGUGUACUUAACAUCAGGGUAAAGCUCAGACGCCUCUGCCCCGAACGACGGCUCGAUCUCGAAGUAGGUCUGAUCACCUAGCACGAACACCGCAUGUCCCAGCGAGAAUAUUAUGUUCAUCGGAAUUGCAGCUUCUGCCAAACAAAAAAUCAACCAUGUCAGCAGUAAAAAAAAAGUGAAAUGGAGACAAAAAGAGGAAUAUUUUAUGAUAUUCAGUUAUUCACCUUGGAUGUUCUUCAGGAUUUGCUCCUCGGGAACAUAAAUCUUCUCCAAAGUUUUCCCAAUCUUCUUCUCCCACAGAGCCACAAGGUCAUUGAAGGAGUAAGUGUUGACGGGAGGCCUAAUGUACACGAUCUUGUUCAACGUUCUGGGAUCCUCUGCUGCUUUGAUCGUGAAUGUGCCAAUGUCUUCCUCCUUAUUGUACACAGCUUUGGCGGUUCCGUCGCCGAGAAUGACGACUUUGUCCCUGGGAGGAGAAGUGGCUCCUGGCUGGUUGAAAUUGGGGAGGAAGUAUCCGGCGAAGCAGUUUGAAGAGACGAUUGUGUAUGGAAUCCCUGCUUCCUCAACUGCCCGCCUGAUCUUCACCUUCUCGGCGAACACCGAUUUGAUCGGCUCCACUGCCCUGCUCCGGUCCACGUCGUUACCGAACUCCGACGGCAAGAAUCUCUGCAUUGUCAAAUAUUAUAUCCAACGUGGUCAAAAAUCGUAAUUCACUUGAAAUUGAAAAUCGGGUUAAAUUGUAAUUAUGGAUUUAAAAAAAAUUAUAGUAUGAAUCACUAAACAUUUAACACAAUAAUAAUGUAUUUAACAUAACUACGUAUAAAAAUGAGAAUUCCAAAUUUAGAGCCAGAGAACUGGCUCGAUUUGAUCCAUCAAAUUUUAACAUCAAUUGUCUAAAAAUUGUAUCAUAAAUCUCACAGCUGAAAAUAUGAGUAUAAAAUUGAUAUUUCAUGUUAAAAUCCUAAUAAUAAAAAUAGUUUCCAAAACCAUACAAAUGUAUAUAUUAAGUACUAUAUUAAAUAGUAUAUUAAGUACGGACUAAAAGAAUUUUCAAAAAUAAAACUAACAACAAUGGUUACGUGGGAGAAAAAAAUUUCAUGAAUGAAAAUUAAAUUGAUUGGAAAAUUGAUUAGGAAACUUUUUAGUGAUCGAACAAUCAAAGAUGGUUACUUUCCGACCUAAUAAAAAUAUGUUAAAUUAUAUAAUUAUAUUGCCCCUACUUAAUCUAAGGAAGGAAAUCCCCUGACUCCAUAAUUGAACUUGUAGUAUGUACAGCUUUAUAUCGGAUCAAGUCUCAAAUCUUUAUAUUAUUGCGGGCGACAUUUUCAGAAUCGUAGAAAUUUUGCAUUUGAGGUUGUUACCUUGACAUUUCCAGCUUCUUUAAUGGCGGCGAUGAUCUUAACCUGAUCGGGGAUUUGCUGGCCAAGUGUGGAGAUGACAAUAUCCACUUGUUUGAUCGCCUUCACCAACCCUUCAUGAUCGUCAACAUCUCCCUGUGAAUCAGAAAACAAAAAAAAAUCACAAUCAUAAGAAAUUGGAAAGAAGCGAAAGGAGUGAGUUUCGUUUCGUUUCCGAUGAAGGGGGGGGGGGGGGGGGAUAAAGAGCGGAAUGAUGGCGGUAAGGAAUAUGGUGUGGUGGAUUUUAUAGGGGAGGGGGGGAGUUUCGGUUGGGCCAUCGAUUCGUGGGAACACGUUAGAAAACCACAGCACCACCAAACCACUUUGUGGUUGGACUUUGAUAUUUUUCUUUCUCUUUUUUUCUGAAGAAAUAAAGGGGUAAAGAAAGACACUUGUUAGUUACGUAAGGAUGAAUCAAUCAGGUAUUGAAACGGGAAUCCGUCCAAGUUCUUAACCACCAACAAAGGUUGGAACUGAGUAGCUGACAAAUGUAAAAUAAAAUUAUUAUUCUCAGUGGAGGCCACUGAUUUAUUUAUAUUUGAUUGAAUGAAUGAAAGUCAUAUGAAUAGUAGCUGGGUUUACGUUAAGUAUGGUGGUGGAAGCUUCUAUUCCUUAGUAGUAAACUAAUACUACGUUUAAGAGGUCAUUGGUCUACGAUGGCUGCUGAUGUGUCCAUUGGUCUGACUUUCUUCACAUAAUAACCUUGGUUUUACGAGUAUUUUAUAUGUUCGAAUUGAAAUGUUACAUAUUAUAGGAUUGUUUGGAAUAUUUUUUACUAUAUCAUUUACAUUUUUAUCAGGGUAAUUUUAUCGCUUCUUUUACGACACGCAAAACUUUUUAUUACCCAUUUAUCCUAACACUAUUACCCGUACUUUAGAUCUCUGUUAUGUAAUUUUCAUUACUUUUUUGUGUAUGAAGUUGUCUUUUCCAUUAUGGAUAACAAUGGUAUGCCCAACCAUUGUGGGUAUAAUGGUAGGUGUCUGGGACCACGUUACUAUGAUUUUUUUUUCUGACUUUAUGUUAAACUUAUUUAUUUUUUUAAUAAAGAAUUUGCUACAAAAGGGUUUUUUUUUAAAAAAUGUGUCACAGUGAAGUUUUCCUAUUUUUUUGAAAGGAGGAAAAACUGCAAUUUUUCUCCUAUUUAUUACGACUAUGAAGAAUUAAAUUAUCGUUAUAUUUAUUUUUUUUUCUACUUCCAAGUGCAGGAUAACCCCAAGAGGUUGCGGGGUUUUUUUCUACCAAUUGGGGCCCUCCUUUUCCUGUGGAGAUGGUCUAUAGGGUUCAUAACUAUUCCUCUUACUACAUGACGUUUAUCUAGCCAACAUUUUGAUCCGGCUCUACCCAAACUUUUUCGGUUCGCCCCAACAUUGUCUACUUGCUCCACUGUUGCUGAGCAAUUUUGAGAUAUUAAACGCCCUCACCCGAAGGUAAUUUUAAUGUGGCCGAUUUGCCCUUUUUGCAAUAAAUUUUGCUACAACACCGACAACUCUAAUUAUUUGCCCACUCUUUUCAAGUGUGAUUUCUAUGUUAUGUAUGGACUAAGAGAGGGAGAGAAAUGACUUCAUCUCAAAGUCAUCAAGUGGUGUCCCCAUAUUUGUAUUCUAUCAGUUGUUAGCGGAAGCAGGAAUGAGGCGUGCCUGGGUGGUUCUAUUCAUUAGUUAGUGGGAUUGCGUGACUUGUCAGCAUCAUCAUCAUCAAAUUCAAUAAAUACCCUUUCUCGGUAAAUCAUCAACCAGUAACCACUACAGACUACUGGUAAUUGGAACUAAUUAAUGACAAAGACGUGACCUUAAUUCACCAGUAGGUCAUCAGUUUAGUAAAUUAUUAUUGCAACCUAAUGCUGACAUUCUAGAUGUAAGUAGUGCCCAGUACCAACUUGAUUUGGUCGCUCAAGAAGGAGUGUUAGAAAGUCACUCGUUUGUGGCUUUGUGCGAUACGUCAAUUCGCUUGACGCUUUCGGCUACUUUGCCACACACUGCUUUUGGCCUCGGUAGGGUGUCGAAAUCCCAUAAUGGUUGAUAUAGUAUCAUGGUUUCGACAAUUUCAUCUCUCAUCAUGCAUAUGCCACGUGUGAUGUGCCCUUGUGACGUGUCAUUCUAAGCUACAAUCUUCAGUCUUCUCAUCUUGAUCUCCAAUCAAUCAUUUUUGUUCCGGAAACAUUGGUUUCGAGGCGGCUCUCGCUUACGUAGCCAUACAACGGGCAAAUCAAAACAGACAUUAAAAAUGUUCAAUUUUCAAAUUUUAAACAAAUCCACCAAAGCCAAAACGUUACAGAGACAUUGAUGAGCUUAACAAUCCAGCCACUAUAAGUUGCAGUCUUCCGCCUCCUGCUCUCUUUCAUAACCUACCAAAAACUUGUCAAACCUUUUCAAAGACAUGAAAUCGUUCAUGAACUACGCGGAGCUGAAGAAGCAAUCCAGUAGCCCCGAUUUGGAGAAAGGGCAGCCAGUAAAAGAAGAUGAUGAUGAUCGCAACCUCCUCAACCACCGAUUCAAGGAAAAAGUGAAGUCAAUGAAGGCAGAAUUGGAAGAUGUCACGAAACUCAUCCGCACCCUGAAGUCCACAGCGAGAAAAGAGGGAAUGAUCAGUACUGACGACGGCAGAGUGAUGAUCAACUCCGAUCAUAUGAUCGCAGUUCUUCGGAAGGCGAAGAGCAUCAAAACGUCGCUGGAGUGGCUACAGAAAUCCAAUCCAGAGCAAGGGGCAGUAACCAAUGAAUUGAGAGGUAAGUUGAUGGAAAUUGUGCAGGAUUUGAUCAGCUUGGAGAUGACUGGCGUUGUUCCGGAAGCGGAGAUCGUGGAGGACGCGGAGUUGGAGGAGCUAUUGGCGGAGAUGAGGGUUUUGGUGGAAUCAAACGGAGAGCUGGAAAUCACAAACAGCAGCAGCAUUGGAGAAGAAGAAGAAGGUGUGAAGAAGAGUGGUGGCGUUGGAAAUGCUAUUGGGGUGUUCUUAGCUGAACGAAUGAAGGAGCAGAGGAAGAAUUACAAGUGUUGGAUUGGGCUUUUCUUGUUACUUGUUUUGUUUAUUUCACUUGCAAGCUUCGCCCCGUGACGGAAAACACUAGUCUUUAUCUUAAGGUGCUGCAUUUUGGCCUUGGGGGUAUACAAAUCUAACUUCAUUUUAUGAAAUCCAGCUUGGAAUUUUAGCUUAAUGCCAAUGCUUCUCUUUUACAAUCAUGAAUCAUUUCAGGGGAUGAGACUUUCAGAGAUGGCUAGUUGUAACUUGAAUGUAUAAGGAUUAUGUUUUCCAAGUGACAUCAUAUUAGUGAGUAUUCAAGUUAGUGCGGUGAAAAACAAGUGCACGAUCGAGCUAACAUAAUGUAAGGAUUAUGUUACUGGAUGAUUUCUGACCGUUAAAAAUUCAUCCAUUCAAUGUAAUUUUUUUGAAGUGGCUCGAAAAUGAACCGAAAGGGAACAAUGCUGAAGUAAACAAAACAAAAUUAUCUGGAAUACAAAAGAGGGAGGGACCCAUAACGUGCCGGAUGGUGCGGGUGUGGCUCACGCGCCCUCCAAUUGCCACUUGAGAAUCAAUCCUUAGCCACGUCAGCCGGAACUUUUGAUUUUCUUACAAAUAAAGACAACUUCCUUAACAGAGUUGGAAACUAGGCAGAUUUGUCGGUCCGAAUAAUUAGGAAGGUCAUGUCGUUAUUUUCUGGUAUUUUUGUGUUAUCUUCGUAUUAACUUUUUCUCAAAAAGCCAUUGAUUAACUUCAGAAGGAUGUAACGGAAAGACUAAAUUGAAGGGAUGUUUCUUAGGAAACAACUUAUCAAGGUUGAUUCCGAGGCACGGCCUCCUGUGGUUCCGACGUACCGGCAGGAGGCUUGUCGGCGGUGACUGCAAGUCUUCGAAAAUGGCCUUCAGGCCAACCCCCCGACGUUCUUGGAGUUUUUUUUAAAUAUUUUUACAGUUUAUUUAGUUUUAAAUCUUUCUUGUAUAAAGUUCAAACUUUGUUGUUUAUGUUACUUAUACAUUAAUACUUCAUUAAUUAUUUUCCAAAUUAUUAUUAUUAUUCCUUCAAAAAGAAAAUAUUAUUAUCAUUAUUCCUGAAUUAACUCAAAUUCAACACGUACAAUCAUGAAAAAGGAAAAAUAUGCAUAGACAAUGAACGUCAAUCCACUAGGGAGGACAUGUGCAAGUAUAACGCUCUGGAUAGCAACGACAUGGGAGUAUACAGUUUGUAUAAGGGUCGCAAAACUUUAAAAAAGGACUAUCUAAUCGUACUUCUUCCCCGCCGUUCGACAUUUUGGAAGAAGUCAAUACGACAUUGGUGGCUCUUCCUUCGACUCCAAUAUUCGACGAUGUGCCUGCAAUGAAAAUCAAACACACAACCAAAAAAACUAGCUUCUUAAAUCCCUUAUCCAUCUUUCUAGAUAGUUGUGUAUGUUUUUUGAGAUGUGUGUGGUAGAAAGGCUUUGGUUUGGUUGGUUUAUAUAGUGUGGAUUAAGAUGGUUGGUAGUGGUAAUGGAUGACAUUUGUUUAAUUAGUAAAAAAUAAUAUGGUAAUAUAUAUUUCCAAAAACCAAUUUGGUAUAUAUUGAGUGAUAUAUGGAUUUAUAGAAAUUGUUGACCUUUUUAGUUAUAUGGUAAGUUCAAGAUAAUAUAAUUUAUUACAAGGAUUUUAUAACUCCUUUUUCCCAUAACAUUUGUUAUAUGUAAGGUAAAAUGAUAAAAUUAUUUUAAUAUUCAUAAAUUAUCCCUGGUUUCAUAUGUGAUGGCCUUGGCCCAAAUUUCCUAAUUACAAACUCACACCCAUCACAAAAUCUAUGGUACAUUUUGGUUAAUACGCGUAAACUCCACUGGCUAUUUUUUAAAGUCGAUAAAAUAAAAUCAAUAUUUACCUCUUUAAAUUAUUGUCAGUGGCCGGUGGGGAGUAUUUUUUUUCUUCGAAAGUAGGACUAUUUAUAUUAUUAUACUCUUGGUCAAAUAAUAUUCAAUUUGUUAAACGAUUCUUAAAGAUUCGGACCUAUAAAAGAGUAGCAUGAGCCACCACAUUUGUACUUCCAAUCAUCCUUAUAAUAAAAAACCUUGAACGAAUGUUAACAUCCCUGGCGCUAAACUCUACCCGAUAACAGAAAACAAAAAAUAAAUAUUCAAAAAAAAAGAAACAUCUGAAACUAAGAAAGCAGUAAACGACCGGUGGAGCCCGAAACACUCGAAGAGGUCGAUACCUCGAGUGAGUUCUUUCCAAUGAAUCACUCCUUGUGGCAAGACCUAUUGUUCAGGCCUGCCUGUCAGGUUCUUUGGGUGUUCCUAGAUACCCUCGAACGUCACCACUAAUUCUUCUUCACCCAACUGCAUUUCUUCUUUUCCUCGUUCCUAUUCAUCAUUAUCUCGUCCUGACAACACCAUUGCCAUCUCCGAUUUGCCACGGAGGGAAGGAAGCAACAACUCCAUCCUUUUUUUGGUUUAAGAAAAAAAUCCUAACUGACUUUUACUUCAAAAAACCCUAACAGUCUUUUGUACUAAAAGAAGAUUUCGCCGAAAGAUAAAAAGAUGAAUGACAAGAGAAAACAAUCAACGACGUUACCGCAAACCUCUCCAUUGAUGGAAUACUAAAUUCUGAUAUGUAAAAAAAAAGAGGAGCGUGGGGGAGCAUAUUUCGGCGUCAACAUUAAAUUGAAGUUGAAUAAAAAUAUAUAACGUGUACAUUAAUUUACUUAAUUACAAACUUUUUACGUACAAAUAUAACGUAAUGAUGAAAAAUGAAUGAAUCACUUCAAACUAUAUAAUAUAUGGGAACAAAUUUCAAAUAAAGAAAUCUAUCGUGAGUGGCCGAUCAAGACUAAUCAACCAGUUUUAAGAUUGAGAAGGAGUGCCAGCUGAGCCAGCUUUGACGAUUUUUGCCCCGAGUCUAAAUAGUUUCGGAGCAGCCCUAAUCCAAUCUCUCCCACCAAUCAUUUUCUUGCUAAAAAACGGCGAAACCUCUCCGGUCGAUAAUUUCUUCGACCAAGCUACCCUCUUGGAUUUAUCAGCUCCCGGUCCGUAAUUCUUGUAUUCCGCAUAGAACGCAGUACUACAUAUGUCCAACACAAGCGGAAAAAAAAAUUGAAAUCAUUGUUUACGCAAAGCUCCGAUCCACAAAUGGAUCUAUUAAUGAACACAUAUACCUUUGCUUGGUGUUGUCUCCCCAAUCACUCCAUCCAGCGGGAAGGACAUUAGAAGCCAUGUAUGAAUAUGCAAAAACAACCCUUGAAUAAGCACCCCAUGGCCUUCCUAGGAAAGUUGGGCCGGUUGCAGUUAUCUUGCACCCCAAGAAAGUGUAUCCAGUUUCGUCGGUCUCUACGUCCCUGUGUUGUGCUGUGAUGAACCCAUUGCUCUCUGAUACUGAAUGGAUAUGGCAUUUCUGCACAACCAACGAAACUUAUUAGUAAAAUUUGGGAGUCUGUCAUCCAAGGGAUCCUUGGCGCAAUGGUAGCACCAGAUCAAAAGGUUGCGUGUACAAUUCAUGCAAGGUUCAAUCUCCCAAUUGGAUUUCUUUUUUCAUUUAAUUUGAAAAAAAUUCGUUCGUGAGCCAAGUUUCAGUUCCAUGUAAGUGGAAUAAAAGAACCAUUGAGCAAAAUUUUCAUUAAUAUAGUCACAAGUAUGUUCGAUUCGAUGGGCUCGUAAGUUGGUUCGAGUUCGAUCUCGACGGCCAACUUGAAUAGCUCGAAUAUAUGGCUAGUUAGUAAACUGAAUAAUAUAGCAUGUGUUCUGCCUAGAAUAAAUCAUAUGUUACUCGUGAUUAUGUUAAUAAAAACAUAAAUGAUAUAUUGUUUAGAUUUAACUAAAUAAGAAAAGUAGAAACUUGUAAAUUUUAAUAGUUUCUUUUUUCAGCUUUAUUUGUUGAUGAUUUUGAUGUACAAAUUUGAACUUUGGCAUAAAUUUGACUCAUCAAUGGGUUUUAAUUAAUGAGCAAAGUUCCAGUUGAGUUCGAGAGUUUGACUCGUUAUAGAUAAUUAACAACGAGUCAUGCUCGAGGUCGACAUAGGCUAAAACUUUCUAGAUUAAACUUAUCUAAAACGUAACGAGCCAAACUUGAGCAUAGUGAAAUUCAACUUUGACUUGAAAUCGUAAACAGCCCUAGCAAAAUUGCAAUUACAAAGGCCAAGUGCUUGUCCGAAACAGUACAUACCUCAAAGAGGGAGGCAGCAUCGCCACAGAUGAAAUCAGUGGCUCCUUCGAUGUAACAGUUGGAAUAAUAAUGGUUGCCGGUAUCGUCCAAGAGAGUGUCCUGGUAGGACAGGAUCCUACACCCGUAAAACGCAGCCCUGUCACCGGAAACCCUUAGAGCCACAGCUCUCCCUCCGCUGCCGUAUGUGUUCUGAACGGUGAGAAAUCGAGCAACGAAGAAAGGCGCGAAGACAGAGAGAGUAGCCGAUUCAAAAAUAUUGUCACCGGACUGGCUCCAUGUGAUCACUGUCGUGUUUGCAGAGACGCCAGAGGUUCCGCUAAGAGUAAUGAACGGCUUGUCUGCAGGGACCGUGACUUUUUCGACGUAGACGCCCGGUUUAACCCAUAUGAAAACCAAUUCCGAGUUGUCGGAUGGAACCGAGCGGACCGCCUCCUGACUCGUGAAUUGAAAUUUUGUAUGAUGAGUUGAAAUAUUUAUAUGAACAAAUUGGAGGAGCGGGGUUGGAUAAUGGAUGAAAGGGAGCCGAUUUCUUGGCGUCGAAGUUGUUUUUCUUAGGGAAAUCAAUUUGGGGGGAUGUUUAACGUAAGUUGCCAUGCAGAAUUAUAUUGUUUAUCCAUGUAUAAUAUUAAUAAUAAUAUGGUUUUUGAGUAGUAGUAAAUUCGAAGGGUUGGUGGAAAUUUGCAGUAUGCGGAUUGCUUGAGAGUUAGAACAACACAGCGGUCAGCAUAAUUUAAUUAAUUAAUUAGUUUUCUUCGUGAAAGCAGAGAGGAAAUGCUGGUGCAUAUACCAAUUGUUUGUGUGUGUACACGGUAGAAUACAUUUUGGGAUGGUGGGCAAAAUUGCAACUGCAGCAAUUACCAGUGUGAUGAGAAUGCAUGAUUCUGCUCCAGAUCAGACGCCGGCGCAGGAUUCAACAAUAAGGAAACAUCCACUUCUUCAUGCCCCUCUCAUCUACCACAUCAUAUUAUAUUAGUGUCGUUUUUCAUGGAUGAAUGAUAGAAAACAAGAUAUAUAUGGGCUUUAAGCCCAUAUACUGGAGAUAGCCUAUGGGCUUUAAGCCCGUUGAUUCCCGCAUCGGCCAUGCCUCUGGUUAGUGAUUACUCGUAUCAGUCGUAUGUUUUCUUUCCAGAGAGUACACGUCAGAGUCAAACUAUGAUGGAAUAUGGAAGAAAGUUCAAAUACGUCAAAUACAGGUCACCCGGUCACCGGCGGCGGGCUGUGGCUGAAGAGAAAAGUCGACCUUUUUAGAACAAGCCGCCAAAUUCGACGACAGUAGAUAGAUCAUAGAUAUUUGAUAUUACUUUAUUUUUCCCUAAGUGGUGGCAAUCAUCAAGAUCCUCUGUUCGAAGAAACAAGUCUUUUUUCUUCUCUCUGAAAUAUUGGGCAGCCGCGGUCGGAAUUUGAAAUUCAAAUCGAAAACAAACAAGGAAGAAGGAAAUGGAAGUGUUGCAGGAAGAAGAAGAGUACAACUGGAAGGAAGUAAAGUUGCCAUCUUUGAUCCCUAAAGUUCCAGAACCAGAGUUGGAGAGAGAGAAAGGGGAAAGGAGGAGAGGCAGAGAUAUUAUCAUAGCGAUUGAUCAUGGACCCAACAGCAAGCAUGCCUUUGAUUGGGCUCUCAUCCAUUUCUCCAGGCUUGCCGAUACCCUCCAUCUUGUUCACGCCGUCUCAAGUAACUACUCUUUCACUCCUUUUUCUUUCUUUUUUUUUGGGUUUCACCUGAUUCAGUUUUGGGGGUUAUUAUGUUUCUGAUGGGAGGCUAAACUGCUGGUUCUCUGUAGGUGUGAAGAAUGAUAUUGUGGAUGAGAUGACGCAAGGCCUUAUGGAGAAGCUCGCUGUUGAGGCUUUUCAGGUCUCUAUGGUCAGUGUCUUCCUUUCUUCCUUUCCUUCUUUCUUUACUUGUUGUCAUAUGCAUCCUUUUCAUUAGCUCAUCCAUCUCUAAAAGACUUCGCAACUUUCACCAUACCAAGCUUCCUUAGAUGGAAAGUUGAUGAAAUUCUGAAUUUUUUUUGAGCUGGAUGAGAAAGUUGGAUUUACUCUAUGAAGUGAUUUUGGAAAGCAAACUUCCCUCCUGCUAUCUAAAUUUCAGUAUGAUAUGAACUAGCGUACUUGUAAAUAGUUAGAUUGCUACCAUAUCCAUGAGUGUUGUUUAUAUGGAAAUCAGAUCAAGAUCUGUAACUUGGAUCCAAUUUAGUUGGUUUGUUAUCUCCAUUCCUCAUUGAUCCUCUUGAUGGCUUUGUGUUUAAAAGCGAAAAUGUAGACAAUUGCCAACUCUAAGUGACUUCAAUUUUGAUCAUUUCCUAGGGUUUGGUUGGACGGGUGGAAAGUUGGAUGGAAUUUGAGCAUUUUCUGGGCGGGACGGGAAAGUGUUUUUGGAGAUCGGACUUUUUUCGUUGCAGUCUAAAUUCCAUCUAAAUUUUUACCUGUCAACCAAAGCCAAGCCUAGGUCGGUCUAUAGUUUUAUAGCUGUAGAUAUGGUAUGAAAGUUUGUCUGAUGAUGCUGUGUUUGGAACCUUUAAAAGGUGAAAAGUGUGGCUAGGAUAGUGCAAGGAGAUGCAGGCAAAGUAAUUUGCAAGGAAGCUGAAAGGAUUAAGCCUGCAGCUGUUGUGAUGGGCACUAGAGGCAGAAGCUUAGUUCAGAGGUAUAAACUUCAGACCUUCGUAACUCUUCAUCGCUUUAACGUUUCGGUGGUCUGAUGUCCGUCUCUUUUGAUUCUCGUAGUGUGCUGCAAGGAAGUGUGAGUGAGUACUGUUUUCACCACUGCAAAGCUGCACCUGUCAUCAUUGUUCCAGGGACAGGUAAGUAACUGACUAACUUCUCAACAUAAAAUAUGAACACGAGAGUUAAAAAGCCUCAUGGAAUUUGUCGUGUUCAAAAAGUUAUUGGAUUAUCGCUCUAUCUGUUGAUCUGCAGAAGCUGGAGAUGAAUCUAUGGUAUCAUGGAACUAAGCAAAUGCAGUACGGAUGUUGAUGGUGAUUCGAGGACCAGUGUGUUGAUGUUGUGUGUUUUUAUCUCGAUUGUUUCGUAAGCUUUCAUUGGUUGACUGGAAGCUUGAAGCAGAUUGAUGUUAUCUCUUGAAUGUAGAGACCGAAAGAAUGAUGCGUUGUUGAUUUGUAUUGCUAAUGAGAGGAUGUAAUGCCUCAGCUGUGUGUAAUGUAAUGAUAUGUGAACAAUUGUUAGUCUUGUUGUCCAUAAACAAACUGAUCACUAGGUAAAACUCACUAGCUCCAAGUAAGCUAAAAACAUGUAAUUUGAACGAGACCAACAAACGACUUUUUAUCUCCUCCAAAUAGCUAAUAACAGAUUGCAACAGCAUGAUCAGUAGAUGACACAAUGUGUGAUAUUUGAUGUUUCCAGAACAAAACAUUUGAAACUGAAAUAGGUUGCGUGGAUAAGGUGGUUUGGUUUGCUUGUUUGUAUUUGUGAAACAAAUAAACAUGUUAUAUAAAUUAGGUUGCGCUCGCCUGUGGAGCUGAUUGAACGUAUCGAUUCGUAUGUUUUUAUUACUGUUUGUAUGUGUUGAACUGUAUGGUAAAAUAUUUUUGUUCUCGUAGAAUUGUGUAUGGUCGAAGUUAACAAAACGCGAUUCAUGUAACGACGGCUCAACACCUAUAACGUAAAUCAAUUUGAAAAUUUUCAAGACUAACAUAAGACAAAGUAAAAUUGAUUUUUAAUUUCAUUUGACCAUUAUCUAAAGGGUUAUCAAACUAAAACUUAAUUUUUUAGUCAUUUCCCACAUGUAUGUCAAAUAUUAGCCGAUUUGAAAAUUUUGAAUUUUUUUUGUGAAAAUGGUCAAAUUUCUAUAGUAUAACACACGGAAAUUAAUCAAUUUUGACAUGAAAAUUGAAAUUUUUUAAAUUGGUUAAUAUUUAUCAUGUAUGUUGAAAAUGAUUAAAAAUUGGGGUUUCACCAUGUUAAGUCCUUUAAAUAAUAGCCAAAUGAAGUCAAAAUNNNNNNNNNNNNNNNNNNNNNNNNNNNNNNNNNNNNNNNNNNNNNNNNNNNNNNNNNNNNNNNNNNNNNNNNNNNNNNNNNNNNNNNNNNNNNNNNNNNNNNNNNNNNNNNUAAAAACGUAUUAACAAAAUAAAAUGAUAAAAUAAUUUAAUCAUGUGAAUUAAAAAGUAAAAAAUAACCUAAAAUAAAAUAAAGAAUAUAGAGUUAUUCAUAUUUUCAACAACAGAUGACAAAACAAAGGAAUUCAAGAUUGUAUAUUUGGUCUUAAUAUUUGAGUUGAGAAAAACGAACAAGCUUCUGCCACGUCAUUGUCUUCAUACUUUGGCAAGAGUCAUCGUUUGCUCGAAAUUACAUAGUGAAAAAAAUCAUCGAUAAUUUCAUUGGUGGAACAGUUUUGAUUUUGAUUUUUUGUAGUGUGAACCCAUAGAAGCAAAAGUGGCCUCCUUUGGCCAAUGGUUUUUCUUGUACCUUUUCCAGAGAGGGAGCAAUAUAUCAAAUAUCAACUAAGCCCACCAUAAAAGAAUACAAAAACUAAUCAAACACCUUAGAAUAUCUUGAGUGUUGCUGAGAUAUUACAGGAUCACAAGCACAGAGAGGGAUGGAGGAUCCACACUGUAAGAAAAGAGAGAAGCAAACAGCGAAAACACUGGAAACAGUGGAGGAAGAUGAGGUGUAUGAUCAUGGUUGGAAUGAUGAAGAAGAAGAACAAAGGAAGAGAAUAUCAGAGCUGGACAUGGAAACAGCACAAGGACGAAGAAGAAGAAAAAUAGUCAGUGGCGGAGAAGGAGGAAGACACAUAAUUGUAGGGAUCGAUCAUGGACCAAACAGCAAGCAUGCUUUCAACUGGGCUCUGCUUCACCUCUGCCGCCAGGCUGACACCCUUCACCUUGUUCAUGCCCUUUCUGGUCAGAUUUCUAUCUUCUUUUUAAUUUAAUGAAGAAUCAUCAUGUACUGUUAUCUUCUUGAUUCUGGAUUUUUGUUUCCCCUGCUGGGUUAAUUAGAUGCAAAGAACAAGCUGCUUUCUGACAUGGCUGAAGGGUUGGUGGAGAAGUUUACACUUGAGGCUUUGAGGAUGGCUAAAGUAUUGAUGAAUUCCUUUUUCUACCCUUGUUAGUUUUAUAAGAAACCUUUAUUUGGGGAAGUUGAUGUUAUGGUGUUGAUGUAAUUAAGGUGAAGGCAGUGGGGAGAGUAGUGGAAGGAGAGGCAAGUAAGGUUAUUUGCAAGGAAGCAGAGAGGCUAAAACCUGUGGCAGUUGUACUAGGAACCAGAGGGAGAUCUCUUUUCCAAAGGUAUUUUUCCUUAAAACGAAAGUUCUAAGAAGAGAUGAGAUUUGCACAGCUUUGAUAAGUAUUUAUGUGCAUAGAUUAGAUGUUACUAGAAGUCAGAACGGAGAGUUUUAGGACUUUUCAAGCUUUCAUACUAUGUGAUGAACCAUUGAUUGCAUUUCAAUAACUCAAGUUAUUAGAAAAGGAGUCAAAUUAGUUUGUAUAUUAUUCAUCAGCACAGUGAGUAUCUAUGUCGUUAUUAACUAUUGCGAUUGUGAUCGGUGCAGUGUGGUGCAAGGAAGUGUCGGGGAGUAUUGUUUCCACCACAUCAAAGUUCCAGUCGUAAUUGUUCCUCUGCAAUGUCAGUGUCUAACUACACAACCUUUCCUUUAUGUUUUCCUCUUUCGGAUCUCUGACACUUUCCAUGGAAAUGACUGUAUAUGAAUGAAGGUGCUGUUGAAGAGCUCAAACAUGAUGGAGGAUGAAAGGGUCAAUUCAUGGUGGAGAAACUAGAGCAGAUCUAGGGGAUCCAGAAGAAGGGUGUUGGUUGAAGAAUGCCAACUGAUUUUACUACUGUGAAGAUGAAGAAGAAAAUCCUUUAAUAUAUGCAACUUGGCUUCAUUGUGCAUUAAUUGUUCAGUUGACUUGCACACAAUUAGGCGUUCUUGGUAAGAAGGGGGGGAGGGGGUUCAGAAUUCUGAAGCUCCCAUGAUAUCACCAGUUCAUUAUUUUAUAAACACAUACCUUCAGUUUGCAUCCAGUUUUUUAGGACUAAAGAACCGAACUUGGGGGUGGAUCCAAAAAUAUGACAUAUAAAAAUAUUGUUUUAGGGUUGGUUCGUAGCAAUUUUCUGGACUAUUUUGAGCAACAAACACAGAAAAGGGCAUGAAUUCAGAGGAAGGUGCCUGGAAAUUGGGCAAUGGGAAAGGUGAUUAAAAGUUAAAACAAGGGGAGUGAAUCAGUUCGGUUAAACCAAAUCCGAAUACAAACCAACAACCACAAAUCGAGUUGGUUGCACAUGGAAAACUCAGACGAGAUCUGGAAGAUCUGCAUAGUCUAACAAAAUCCACUUAUUCAAAGCCCUGUAAAUUUUACAACAAUUUUGACAACGUAAAUUAGCAGUAAACAAACCAUGAUUAAGAGAGAAAUAUGAGCGCACACCAUCUUUGACAAUCCAAGGAAACCAAAAAGAUAUUCAAAGAGAUUUGCUGCUCUCUAAGCUACACAGCUGGUAUUAUUUAUAGGCCUACCGUUAUCUGCUUGGUUGGAGGGAUGUUGACAUCGACAUCGACUGUGAUGCUUUUUCGGUCGUUAUCCGUGUUUUCAUACGUGUGGUUUUUUAGGAACUUUCGUUGCUGAUGUCCACCGUUUUUUGGAUGUUUAGUUUGCUCUGCGUAUCCGUGUUGUCGUUUUUUAAACCGUAAAUUUUGUCGCCAUAUUAUAAUAGACUUUUGGUGUCUUCUAAAAUGUAGUGUAGUAAACCCGUUGAAUACGUAAGGAACCAUUUGUGUCAAUCGCCUAUGAGUGUACAAAUCAAAUCCGAGUUUACUUAAGCCGUGAUUUUGAGAGUAGACACUAAACACUUAUUCUUUUUGUACUUGGAACUUGAAAGAACACCGCGGGUUUAGGAGCUGUCGAAGCCUUGACUUCGAUAGCUGAGGAGCAGUGUAGGAGUCCCGACCUCCGGUCCGAAAUCUGACCAACGGUAUUCGAGACAGUGAGUUCGUAAGCCGCCUCAUGAGCAUCGCUCAGAAACGACCCGUCACAGUUAUCCAUGAGAAUUGUCCAUGGCUGACUAAACUCGGUUACUUGGUAAAAACGGUGGCGUACUUUAUCCUGGUCUUUGAAAAGCGUUGAUCUUUGAAACAUUCACUUUUUCAGACGGACAUCUGACUUUAGACUUCACGGGCCCCCAUAGGCCCACAAACUUUAAAAAAAAAAAUUAUUCCUAGCAACAAAUGAACUAAUUCUUUUGCUGUCCGUUCAUCACGACGGCAACUGGGACUUGUCUAUCUGUCUGCCUGUUAAGAUUCUCUCUCUCUCCAUCUGUAAAAAAUUCAUAAUUUAAUUUGCUCUGUAAGCUGUGAAUAAAACUACUACUGCUAAUCCCAAAUCGCCAUUUCCAUCUCUCUUCUCUUCACUCUGUUUUUCCCUUUUCUUUGUUUCUGUCGCCAUCGCCGUCAUUCCCUUUCUGCACUUAUUGCAGCUCGAUCGUUGAUCGUUGAUAUAGUUAUUCCUCUGUUUCAGAUCCGUACAUGAACGAUCAUCACUGUUCCAUUCCGUAUACAGAGAGAUAGACAGAGAUAUCACAAACAAUCCUGCUUUUGAUUGAAAAAUCAGAGUAACAAUGAGUAGUGGCGAUGGAGGAUGCGAAGUUCAGAUCCAGCACCAACCGAGAAGAUUGCCUGAUUUCCUACAGAGCGUCAAUCUGAAACACGUCAAGCUCGGAUACCAUUACCUGGUGAGUAAUCUCUUGACUCUAUGUCUAAUCCCGUUAAUGGCGGUCAUCGCGAUCCAGCUCUCCCAAUUGGAUCCUGAAGCUCUCCGCCAGCUAUGGCUCCAUCUCAAAUACAAUCUCGUCGCCGUAAUCAUCUGCUCCACUUUCCUCGUCUCCGGAAUCACCGUCUACGUCAUGACCCGGCCCAACCCGGUCUACCUCGUCGACUACGCCUGCUACAAGCCACCUGAGGAGCUCAAAGUCCAGUACAAGAAAUUCAUGGAUCAUUCCAGGCUCACCGGAGAUUUCGACGAGUCGUCGUUGGAAUUCCAGCGCAAGAUCCUCGAGAGAUCCGGCCUCGGAGAGGAAACGUACGUCCCCGAGGCGAUGCUCUUCAUUCCUCCCCGGCCGUCGAUGCAGGCUGCGAGAGAAGAAGCUGAACAGGUGAUGUUUGGCUCGCUCGAUACUCUAUUUGCCAACACGAAAAUCAAACCUAAAGAUGUAGGGAUUCUUGUUGUCAACUGUAGCUUGUUUAACCCUACUCCAUCGCUUUCCGCCAUGAUUGUGAACAAAUACAAGCUGAGAGGUAACAUCAGGAGCUAUAAUCUCGGUGGAAUGGGAUGUAGCGCUGGAGUUAUCUCAAUCAAUUUGGCUAAGGAUCUUUUGCAAGUUCAUAGGAAUACUUACGCAGUUGUUGUCAGCACUGAGAACAUUACUCAGAAUUGGUAUUUCGGGAACAAGAAGGCCAUGCUUAUCCCCAAUUGCCUGUUUAGAGUUGGUGGCUCUGCAGUUCUAUUAUCCAACAAAUCUAACGAUCGGAGACGGUCGAAAUACAGGCUUGUUCAUGUCGUCAGGACUCAUAAGGGAGCCGACGACAAGGCUUUUAAAUGUGUGUAUCAAGAGCAGGAUGAUGCUGGCAAGACUGGAGUUUCUCUAUCGAAAGAUCUAAUGGCAAUUGCAGGUGGUGCAUUGAAGACUAACAUCACAACAUUGGGUCCCCUUGUGCUUCCGAUUAGUGAGCAGCUUCUCUUCUUCAUGACAUUGAUUGCUAAGAAGCUGUUCAAUGCCAAGGUGAAGCCAUACAUACCGGAUUUCAAGCUCGCUUUCGAGCAUUUCUGCAUCCAUGCCGGAGGGAGAGCUGUGAUUGACGAGCUAGAGAAGAAUCUGCAGCUUCUUCCCCAGCAUGUGGAAGCGUCGAGGAUGACCCUGCAUCGAUUCGGGAACACUUCGUCGAGCUCGAUUUGGUACGAGCUGGCUUACACGGAGGCUAAGGGGAGGAUGAGAAGAGGAAACCGGGUGUGGCAGAUUGCGUUUGGGAGCGGGUUUAAGUGUAACAGCGCGGUGUGGGAAGCGCUGAAGAAUGUGAAGCCUUCGGUUGAUAAUCCGUGGGAGGAUUGUGUGGAUAGGUAUCCUGUUGAGUCAGUGUUCGAACUUUCUGAAGCAGCUAAAGGGAGUUGAUCAUCCUUAAGAGAUUGUCAGAAAUGUGAACAGGUAUAACUGUGUGUUAAUUUAUCAUUGUACUUGAGUUAGCUAAUGAACGAUGGCCAUAAAUUGGAGGGUGAUCCUCUGCUUUCUCUGUUUUCUUCUUUCAAUUGAUGUGGGAUCGUAUUGUAGUUUGAGGAUAGUGCGAAUAUGGAAUUGUAUGGCAGUUAGAGUGAUGGUUGUAGUCUGAAGAAUGGUUGUGAGAUUCUGGAGUUGAUGCAGCCGUCUUUCAUAAAUUCAUAUCUGAUUUUCCUUUCCUUAUGUCUCAACUGAAGAUGAUGGCUUUGUUGUUCUCUCCAAUCCUUAAGGGACCAAAGAGUUUGUCGUGGGAAUUCGAUGCUACGGGGUUUCUCCUUUGUUUCUCGCUCGAACAAACAAACCUGUUGGACCGAGAGAAAAUUGCAUUAGAAAAUUUCAUUAGAAUCGAUCUCAACACGUUUUGAUAGAUGUAAAAGAGUCUUUCUCGCUACUAAAUAGGCAGCUCUGUUCGCAUCACGGCGUAUAACAUUUACUUGUAAAUGAUGUGCCGCCAAAUAUGCCAAAAUUUCAGCAAUAAUAUCACCCUUUAAAGCUUUACAUCUUCUUUAACAUUCAUCUUUCAAAUUCCCCAUCAAAAACAUCAUACUUACACAUCUCAGAACAGCCAAUUCCCUGCAAAACCAACCCUCUACAUCACCGCUAUUUGUGUGGACUGUGGGUGGAUCAUGGAUGGCUUUCACAGUUUGACUUCUAGAUGGCGCAUUUAUGCUCCGCCAUCACACGUCUUCAGUUCAACCAACGUCGCGUUCUUGGAGAGCUACUUAAUAACUUUCACCUAAUUAAGUUGGUACGUGAUCGCGCAAGUUGGCACCAAUUUUUGUAGCCCGAAAGAUAUAUUAUGGCUAGCUUGGUUUUAGUGUUUUUUUUUAUAGGUAGAUUUCGAUAGGAGAGAUCGAAAUAGUAAACUCAAAAAAAUUAAUCAUCAGCCCAUCUCGUAGGAUCGCCCUUUAUACGGAUUGGGAGAUAUGAAAGAUCUUUUCUCGUCACUUUAUGGACAGUUACAUUGGUUUGGGCCUCCCUUCGUAAACUUUCUCAUUGGCUUUUGGGAGACACGACUCUUUAAUUGAGAUUACGAUUCGCAAACCCUUAAAUAACCCCCUUUCUUGGCCAUUGUACUACCUUCAUAUAACCGUUUAAUUGUCUCUCAUGUCACUGUACUACUCUCCGUUAAUUUUCUGACGUUUAAAUGUACUUCGCAUCUUCACCAUACUUUCACCAUAACGUUUCCGUGGCAUAGCGCGGGCUACUUCUAGUUGUAACAUAGAUUCACAACUUUGCGACAAAAUAGUCAGAUAUAAUGGCGGAUACUGGGGGACGUACGUAACCCUAUGUCUCGCGGCCCACCCAUUUUCAUAUCUAAAACUUAGAUAUAUAGUAUGUACUUUUUCACUAUAUUUAUUGGUGGAUAGUUCUUCUGUCUAUAUACAAUCCAAUGUAUUUUAACUUAUAUACCACUCAAUUGAGUUGUACCAUUAUAGAUCUGCACUCAUUGACACUAGCGACAUAUACAUAUAGACAUCAUUUGUUAUGAGGGAAGGUAGAGUUGGUAAAACUAAUUGGGGUCUUGAAGAUUGGGUAAUCGAGUUUUUUUACCGUAUUGAAGUAUUUGUACUCGUUUUGUUUUGUGUAGCGGAUUAUUUGCCGUGGUUGAGAUGGAUGAACAUUGAUGGACAGGAAAGAAUCGUUAAAGAGGCGAAUUCGACGUUGAGGAUUUACCAAGACCCGAUUAUUGAUGAGAGGAUCCGAGUUUGGGAGAGAAAUGAGAGGGAGGAGAUGGAUGAGUUGACUGAUGUUUUCAUUACUCUCAAGGAUGGUAAUGGCGACUCCUUGCUCACUGAUAUAAUUGUUCAAUUAGCACAUAUCUAAUCCCUAGCCUUAGAAUGCUGCAACAUUUUAGACUAUGGCAGCGCUGAUCAACCAACCGGAUCUCCUCGCCAAGGCAACCGAGGAAAUCGACCGGGUCGUCGGAAAAAACCGGCUGGUCCAAGAGUCCGACAUCGGGAGCUUGAACUACAUGAAGGCAUGUGCUAGGGAGUCAUUUCCGCUGCACCAUAUGUUACCAUUCAACGGACCGCACGUAGCCACUCAAGACACCGUUGUCGCCGGCUACUUCAUUCCCAAAGGAAGCCACGCGCUCCUCAGUCGCUACGGCCUGGGCAACCCGAACGCCUAGACCGACCCCCUCAAAUUCGACCCAAACCGACACCUCAAUGGUGACGACGUUGUCCAGUUUGGUGAGCCCGAUCUGAGGUUCAUAUCUUUCAGCAUGGGACGUCGAGCAUGUGUGGCGCCGCUACAGUGCUUCACUUGGACCGUACCGGGGGACAUCCAAACCGUCGAUCUGACGCAAGCAGAGGAUGAGCUUAUCCUAGCCACAAGUGUGUUUCCUGUCCCACGUUUGGCUCCUCAUUUAUACCCUUACACUCUCCUAAAACAAUGUGCACUAGUGUUGUUGUCAAAUAAAGACUAACAAUUGAUUACGUAAAUCAAAUGUUAAUACCUAAUAAUGUGACUCUUGUGCCGUUUUUUACUUUCUCUAUAACAAAUUUUUGAGUAUUUCUAAGUCCAUAGACUUGUUCAUCUUUGUGACUUAUUUUCUUCAAUUUUUUCAUUGAAUAAUUGCUGAUUUUGUAAACUUUUAGCCGGAACUCUACUUGAGCUGCUAGGGGAAGAACAGUUCUUAUCAGAAAGCAAAAUGAAGAUCUGUAGUCUCUCAAUUCAUUUUCUUACAAUCCAAUCCAUCAGUAUGGAUUGAUCAAAGAAAGGUGAAAAGCAUACGACAAUCUGAACAAGAACCAGAACGAGAACCAGUGAACAUAACAAGUACGCAACACAAUCAUACCAAACAGGAUACCACUCAAAGACCUAAUUCAACAUAGCAUAGCAGCACAGCAUUCGAUAACCAGCUUUCCCCCUAAGCUAAUAGGCCAAACUAAUUCCUCCAGUUUCCAUCCGAGUCGCCGCCUCCCCUAGAGUAACGAGAUCCGCCACCACCACCACCAUAUCCACCCUCACGCUGCCCACCGCCGUACCCACGCUGCCCACCUCCGUAUCCACCGCCGCCGCCGCCACCGCGGGGUCCGCCACUACGGAAACCACCUCCCCCGCCGCCGCCUCCACGGGACUGAGCCUCGUUGACAGUAAUGUUCCGUCCGUCAAGAUUCUGGCCAUUCAUCCCCUCGAUGGCAUCCCUCAUCGACUUCUCGUCACUGAAAGUGACGAAUCCGAAACCACGUGACCUCCCGGUUUCACGAUCGUUGAUGAUCUGUACAUGCCACAACAACAAUUUCGCAGAUCUGUUAGACAUCCGAUCGAAAAUACUGAAACAGAUCGGGGAGAGGAAAGUCUCAAAACCACUGGUAAUAAUUGAACGAGAAUCGAAGAAAAUUAUAUAGAAUUGGAAUAAAAAAUUUAAAUCGAACGGUCUCCUCCCAAAGGAUGAAGAUGAACGUACCGAUUGCGUGAGAGUUUAGUGAAGAGUAACAUGAUAAAACAACGAGAGAGAACAGAGUAACACAGAAUAGUAACAGAAACAGAUCGGAGAGAGUAACAGAUCCUGGAUCGACAUAGCCGAGUGGCGUCGGAGGUCAGAUCCAAUCCCUGGGAGUCACACAGGUGACAAACGGACCUUCGAUUCGACGAUUUGGCCAUGGGUGCUGAAAGCUUCAUAGAGAGCAUCGUCGGUGGUAGCCCAAGCGAGGCCACCAACGAAGCAUCUGUACUCGGUAUCAGGAGCAGCCAUUAUAUCUUUUACUGGUAAGAGUAAGAUUUGAAUCAGUGAGGUGAAGAGAAGGAUGAGGCUGUUGUGGAAAUGUGAGGUAGAUCGGGUAUGAAUUUAUAGGGUGGAGGAGGUGCUAACUAUGGUUAGUUUCUGAGUAAGGUGAGUGCGUUUAGCGCAAUGUGCGGCAUCGGUCCCGAUUCUCCGUCCACAAUUUUCAUUUUUCUAAAUUUGUCACAUUAUAUUUAUUUUGAUAUUUUCCGUAUACUUUUUCAUAUCCUUUCAACUCGAUCAAUUUGGAUCAUAAACAUUGUAGCAGUUCGUUAAGGAUUAAGUUUAUCAAGCAACAGAGCUAUCAGCUCGAUGGUGCAUCAUACUUGCGGGUCCCUGAUCUCGACAACAUGUUAUGUCUUAUCACAUAUAAUCGGUUCACUAAUAUUAGCCAAGCGGUCUUUGCGGCAGACGUUCGGUUUCAUAAAUAUUUUACGAUUCUCUAUGAUUCAGCUGAGGCGGUGCGUUUCAUCAUCUCAUCAUCCUACGAUAUUUGAAUAGGCCAAUUAUUUUCAAAAUGUCAUCUUCUCCGCUCUUUACCUUUGAUAACUCUAACGUUUGUUUUUCGUUUUGAUAACUAUACUACUUAUUUAAUGACACAUAAAGUUAUAUAUUAUCUAAAUAUUAUUAAUCUUCAUUUUCUUUUAUACGAAAUCUCCUAUAUAACCUUUUAUUUUAUUUAUGUAUAAUAAAACCUUUCUUAGGAAUAAAAAAAGAGUAUGAUAUAUUUCUAUUUUUUUCAGGUAAAUGAUAUUUUGUCAUAAAAAAUUGGGUAGAUCGGUUAUAAUAAUAGAUUAAUAUAUUACGAUGAAAGGGUGGUGCAUGGCCGGCCGGUGAGAUUGGACUUAACCAUGGUUAGGAUAUUAUUUUCUAAAUUGAGUAGAAAAAUAUCUAGGUUGGUUAAGUGUGAGACCCACUUGUUUUCAUCAUCAAUUUUGCUGAUUUGUUUGUUUGUGAAUAACCCGAUAGGCACGUGAAACGGUGAGAGGUUGCGCUGAUAUUUUCAUUUCCGUCUCACAAAAUAUCUUACCUCGUUAAAUUACGAUAUUAUCCCCUCUCGCCCUCUUAUACCCGUUCAAGCUCGGCUCUUCUGGUUUACAGGCUCGAGCACCAGUUCCAUUCAAACAUGACAAUUGAUUUUAAAGUCUUACAGAUCUGAUUUACAAAGUCUUAACAAGUAGGUUAUUGGCUCAAUCUCGAGCUUAACAUUCACAAAACUUAUAAACCCAACUCAUAUAGUAUUUAGUUAUUCAGAGUUUAAGUCAACAUUAUUCAUCGUCAUGUUAAUAAGAACAAUGAAACAAUUUUCUCUAUAACCAAAUCGCAAAUUACACUAAUCGAGCAUCACUCGAGCUAAGUAUGGCACUGCGUGCUUUUAGCUUUCUAUCAUAUACGGUCAAUUACAUAUUAUAUGUGGCUUCUAUGUUCAUGGGAUCAGGAAGGAGAUGCUUGUGAGUUGAAGACAACAUAGACUUUUAGGCCUUUUUAAGUUCUUCCUCUUCUCCUAGUGGUACUCCAUUGCCCAUCAUCAAAUGCUCAGAAUUCAAAGUUCGAAGUACGUUUGGUGAAUUGAGUGUUCUUCCUCAAGAACCUUAAGUUUUUAGACUUACCAUUCAAACUAAAACGGAGUUUAUAUCAUUGCAAUUGGUGUAUAGCCUGUAGAGUAAAAUCGACUGUCCAUAACUUGCCUUGACAAUUAUGUUCUCCUUCAUGAAAACUAACUUUCAAUUUGGGGGUGGGGGUUUGGAAUUUGGUUAUCAGCCGUGAUUUGUGAUUGUUUCCCGUUACUAUUGUGCAACCAUUCAAACGAACUUGCAACAUCAUUACUCUUUUGAACCAAAACCAUAAACGAAGUUGAAUUCCAGAACCAGAGCAAAACACAGAGAAAACGGACUAGAUAGCAAGAUCCCCACAAACGGAACCAGAAAACCCACGACACUCAACUCAUCGACAAAAACAUUCGACAAUCCAAAAACCACAGCCACCCCUCACCCACUAACUAAGCUAAUGAUCCCAUCUAAUUCCUCCAGUUUCCACCCGAGUCUCCGCCGCUCCUCGAGUACCCAGACCCACCAUCACCACCGUAGCCACGGUCACGGCCUCCACCGUAGCCACCGCCAUAUCCUCCAUCACGGUCACGCCCACCACCGCCAUAUCCCCGAUUGCCACCCCCGUAUCCACCGCCACCACCACCGCUUCCGUAUCCACCUCCGCCACCGCUUCCAUAUCCACCGCUACCACCUCCGCCCCUGUUGUAACACUCCGCCACCGCUUCCAUAUCCACCGCCACCACCUCCGCCUCUGUUGUAACCUCCACCACCACCACCGCCCGAACGAGACUGUGCCUCGUUAACGGUGAUGUUACGACCGUCAAGAUUCUGGCCGUUCAUCCCCUCGAUGGCAUCCCUCAUCGACUUCUCGUCGCGGAAAGUCACAAAUCCAAAGCCACGGGACCUCCCCGUCUCGCGAUCGUUGAUAACCUGACCCACGUAAACAUUUCACAGAAUUGUCAGAUUCAAACAGAAUUAUACUCGGAUCCGGAAAGUUGACGAUUCGAGAAUUAACAAAACAAUUAAUGGAAUAAGCAAAGCAAAAUUCGAACGAAAUCUCCUCCCGAAGGAUGAAGAUAAACGUACCGAUUGCCGAUUGGGGCGAUAGUUUAGAGAGUAACAUAAAACACACAGAAAGAACAGAGUAACACAGUAACAGUAACACAAAGAGAUCGGGGGAUCCUGGAUCGAAACAGCCUAGCGGAGUCGGGUGAGAUCCGAUCGCUGGGAGAUCACAGGUGACAAACGGACCUUCGAUUCAGCGACAUCGCCAAAGUUUCUGAAAGCCUCAUAGAGUGCAUCGUCGGUGGUAGCCCAGGCGAGGCCACCAACGAAGCAUCUGUACUCACCAUCAGCCAUUAUUUUGUGUUGGAAUUUGGAAGAAGAAUAUCGGUCGAUAAACAGAAAUGCAGUGUGUGCGAGCUGAGGCGAGGGUUUUGUAUGGUUUUAUAGAGUGGGGAGGGGAGGAGGAGGCCUAACUAGGGUUAGUUUCUCGGUGAAACCAGUGCCCAAUACGCAUCGUUUGGAGGCCAUUUAUAUUUGGAUAAACACUGAGAUAUAUGUUCAUUUAUAUUUAUUUAUAUGCAGAAAUACUAGAAAG